Molecule: long non-coding RNA, 2555 nt
Filed under: Anthonomus grandis grandis
Lineage: Eukaryota; Metazoa; Arthropoda; Insecta; Coleoptera; Curculionidae
Description: uncharacterized LOC126742665
Source: RNAcentral
UGAAAUCACGGAUCGCUUUCGGAUUUUGUCAGUCGGCAUCGUCGAAAUAAUCGGCGGGACUGUUGAUGUGGUUUGCUAACCUCACUUUCAAUUUUCAACUUUGAGCUUUGAGUUUUUGAAACGUUUUGUUGUUUAUUUACAAUUUGUGCGACCAAGAGUAAUUAUUAUUAAUUACAUUAUCUUGUUUCCUUGUAAAUUCAAAACACCACUAUAUAUUUACAUUAAUUUACUACACCUUUAUUCGGUGAACAUGGAUAUAAACAGGGAUAAUAAAUUAAUAUGUGAAGAUUGUGGAAAGUCAUUUUCUUCUACUUCAACAUUGUAUCGGCAUAUGAGGGAUAUACAUAAUAAAAAACAGAGUGAAAAAGAGAGCCAACACAUUAUUUGCCCCCUUUGCCUGGACAAAGAGAAGUUUACAUCCUAUGAUUCUUUAAUAAGACACUUUCAUAGUAUUCAUAAUAUACAUAUUAAAGAAUCUCUUUUAAAUUUUAGGAAUUUGGCAGAGUUUGAAAUUUGGAGGUCUGCAGAAAACAGAGAGGUAGAUUAUGCUGUUCAUCGAAGAAAGAAAUGUGCUAAUGGGGAAGAAUUUAUUUACUAUAAUUGUAAUAGAAGUGAUUCAAAAGGAUAUGUCAGUACAUGUUUGCAAUGGAAUUUAAAGUCUAAAGGAAGCAUUCGUAUGCAAGGAAUUUGUCCAUCAAGAAUAAUAGUUAAAAUUCUAGUAGAUGGAGUGAGAUUUAAGAUUUUUUGAAACCCACAUAGGACACCCUGAUGAAUUAAGAAGCAAAAGGCUAACAAAAUCGGAACAGGAGAUAAUUGUGGAUAAAUUAGCAGCAGGAGUUUCAAACAAGAGAAUUAUUCAGGAGGCCAGAAGCGUAGACGGCAAUAAACUACAAAGGAAAAAUUGUAUAACAUGAGGAGAUUUAGAGUACCUAAUACGAAAAUUUAAUAUUGACAAGAAAAGGGACAGUGAUGAUAUGAUAGCCACAGUGUUAAAAAUUCAGGAAUGGAACAGUGAUGGAAAAAAUCAUGGAUUUUUAUUUAAACAGAUAGGAGAAACUUAUCCAGGAUUAGAAGAAGAGAUUUUCCAAAAAUAAUCUGUAUAGAUGGAACUCAUGGAACAAAUAGGAGAAACUGGGACUUGACAAUUGUGUUAAUAAGAGAUGAACAAAAUAUGGGUUUUCCAGUGGCAUUCUUACUAAGUAACAGAUUAGAUCAAUUAAUUCAAGAGGUUUUUUUUAGAACAUAAACCAAGAAGAUUACUUUGUACCUGGCAUAUAGUGAAAAAUUGGAACAUACAAGGAAGGUCUAAAAUCAAGAAGUUGGAAAAUAGACAGAUAAUGAAACAUGAAAUGAGGAAAAUUUUAAAGAAGACUGAUCCACAAAAAUUUAUACAGCUGAAAGAGAACUAUUUUAGGCAAUUAGAAGAAGAGGAGGAAACUAAUUUUCAGAAUUACCUGAAAAAGUACUUCACUAAAAAAGUCAACACUAAAAAAUUAUAAAACAAAUGUAAUUAAUUCUUUACUAUUUCCAAAGUCAAGAGAGAAUAAUGAUGUGGGCACAUUGUUAUAGAAUCAAUGCCGGAAUUAAUACAAAUAUGGUAAUUGAAAGCUUAAAUAAAGUUCUGAAGUACAACAAAAUGAAUGGAAAGCAGAAUAUUAGGAUUGAAAAACUGUUGGAUUUACUGGAUGAACUUGUUGAUGAAAGAAUGUGGAAAAGGAUUAUAAACAUGGAAAGGCCAAAUGCAAAUAAUUAUCAGCCAAAAAAAAAGUGAGAGUGCUCAUAAAAAAGCAGAAGAAAUGGUGGGUAAUAACGGCAAUGUAUCAUAUUCUGAAUUAGGACAUUUUAAGGUAAGGUCGUUUAGUGAUAAUCAUAAAUUGUAUUUUGUAAAUUAUAAUGAGGCUUGUGAUGAGGACUGUAGGGCAAUGUAUUGUGAGAAGUGUAAGAUAUGUAAACAUAAAUAUAAUUGUGAUUGUCCAGAAUAUACUGUUAAAAGUGUCAUGUGUAAGCAUAUACAUGCUGUAGCUUUAUUUGAGCAGAGGAGCGAAUAUGUUUCAGGUUUCAUGGAUGAAAUGCAAGAAGAUAAUAAUCUGUAUGUCAAUGAACCUUCAACAAGCAAGACAGUUUAUGAGGAUGAAGUAAAUCAUUUUCUUGAUGAGACUGAAAAUAGAAUGAAUGUGACAAUUGAUUUUAAAAGAAAGCGUGAGAUUUGUCUAGAACAGUUUUGCUCUGAAAUUCGUAAUUAUGGUGGUGGAUUGGGUGAACAUGAUUUAGAAAAAUUUAUGGGUGAUUUUAGAAAUUUUAUGCAGACAGUAAAACAAAAAGAAAUGGUGAUGAGUAAAAAAAGAAAAAUAGAAAAGCAGCAGUAUUAUCUCAACAAAAAACCUAAACAAAUUUAUUUAUAAUAAAAUGUUUAUAACUAUUUCAUUACUGAUUGACAUUGCUUUUGUGAGUGACCUAUUCUGGUAUUAUAUCUAAGUGGUGUUGGCUAUUUGUAUUCAUGUAAUUCGUUGGCUUAUGGUGAAGGAUACUUAUAAAAUAUAUUUUUUCAAUUUUAA